Molecule: ribosomal RNA, 1174 nt
Filed under: uncultured organism
Description: bacterial SSU rRNA
Rfam family: Bacterial small subunit ribosomal RNA
Source: RNAcentral
CUCCUAUCAGCUUGUUGGUGAGGUAACGGCUCACCAAGGCAACGACGGGUAGCGGGACUGAGAGGUUGGCCCGCCACAUCGGGACUGAGACACUGCCCGGACCUCCACGGAGGGCUGCAGUAACGGAUAUUGGGCAACGGGCGAAAGCCUGACCCAGCAAUGCCGCGUGCAGGAUGAAGCCCCUAGGGGUGUAAACUGCUGUCAGGGGUCAGAAAGCUGGUUUCGGCCAGUUGAUCAACCCCAGAGGAAGUCACGGCUAACUUCGUGCCAGCAGCCGCGGUAAUACGAAGGUGGCAAGCGUUAUUCGGAAUCAUUGGGCUUAAAGGGCACGCAGGCGGAACAGUGUGUGUCGUGUGAAAUCCCCCGGCUUAACCGGGGAAUUGCACAGCAAACUGCUGUUCUUGAGGCAGGUAGGGGUGCAUGGAACUCUUGGUGGAGCGGUGGAAUGCGUAGAUAUCAAGAGGAACGCCAGAGGUGAAGACGGUGCACUGGGCCUGUCCUGACGCUGAGGUGCGAAAGCGUGGGGAGCGAACGGGAUUAGAUACCCCGGUAGUCCACGCCGUAAACGAUGUCUACUAGGUCGUGGGUGUUCUGACACAUUCACGGCCGGAGCAAAAGUGUUUAGUAGACCGCCUGGGGAGUACGGCCGCAAGGUUAAAACUCAAAUGAAUUGACGGGGGCUCACGCAAGCGGUGGAGCAUGUGGAUUAAUUCGAAGCAACGCGGAGAACCUUACCUGGGUUUGACAUGCUUGUAUGCCUUCUCUGAAAGGAGUUAGGCUGCCUUCGGGUGAAACUUGCACAGGUGCUGCAUGGCUGUCGUCAGCUCGUGUCGUGAGAUGUCGGGUUAAGUCCUUUAACGAGCGAAACCCUUGCCGUUAGUUGCCAGCGAGUAAUGUCGGGGACUCUAACGGGACUGCCGGUGUUAAACCGGAGGAAGGUGGGGAUGACGUCAAGUCCUCAUGGCCUUUAUGCCCAGGGCUUCACACGUGCUACAAUGGCAAUUACAGAGCGACGCGAUACCGCGAGGUGGAGCAAAUCGCAAAAAAAUUGCCUCAGUUCGGAUUGCAGGCUGGCAAUUCGCCUGCAUGAAGUCGGAAUCGCUAGUAAUCGCGUAUCAGCAAUGACGCGGUGAAUGUGUUCCUGAGCAUUGUACACACCGCCCGUCAAGUGAUG